Molecule: ribosomal RNA, 546 nt
Filed under: Mesoflavibacter sp.
Lineage: Bacteria; Pseudomonadati; Bacteroidota; Flavobacteriia; Flavobacteriales; Flavobacteriaceae
Description: bacterial SSU rRNA
Rfam family: Bacterial small subunit ribosomal RNA
Source: RNAcentral
GACGACCGGCGCACGGGUGCGUAACGCGUAUGCAAUCUACCUUUUGCUAAGGGAUAGCCCAGAGAAAUUUGGAUUAAUACCUUAUAGUAUGGUGACUUGGCAUCAAGAUAUCAUUAAAGGUUACGGCAAAAGAUGAGCAUGCGUUCUAUUAGCUAGUUGGUGUGGUAACGGCAUACCAAGGCAACGAUAGAUAGGGGUCCUGAGAGGGAGAUCCCCCACACUGGUACUGAGACACGGACCAGACUCCUACGGGAGGCAGCAGUGAGGAAUAUUGGACAAUGGAGGCAACUCUGAUCCAGCCAUGCCGCGUGCAGGAAGACUGCCCUAUGGGUUGUAAACUGCUUUUAUACAGGAAGAAACUCCUCUACGUGUAGAGAUUUGACGGUACUGUAAGAAUAAGGAUCGGCUAACUCCGUGCCAGCAGCCGCGGUAAUACGGAGGAUCCAAGCGUUAUCCGGAAUCAUUGGGUUUAAAGGGUCCGUAGGUGGAUAAUUAAGUCAGAGGUGAAAUCCUGCAGCUUAACUGUAGAAUUGCCUUUGAUACUGG